UGUAAUCUUCGUUCUAAUGGCGCAACUCCUCCCACUCAUUCAUAAUCCGACCUCCGCGUUUGCACUCGCUGCCUACAAGAGCGCCCAAAUUUGAACAUCACUGAUGUUCAUCGGAUUUACAGAGUGACGACAACCCCCGUCAGCAUGUUAGAUAAAGGAUUUAAGUUAUAUGCUGCAUCAUAUAUACACAACUACGAAGUGUCCAAAAAACACAGGUUGACAGGGGAAGUCGGUGUGAGAGCCCUGUGCUACAGGUCAAUGAGGAAGAGUGAGGCACCACACAGACUAAGUGUAGGCAGGAAGCUGUGUAAAGUUGUUAAUCCCUGUUCAGUGGGGUUCAGUUCAUUUAAGCAUUAGUUAAGUUCAUUCCUGAAGGCCCAUCAACUUGAAUGUUUUCCUUGUCCCCCUGCUUUAUCACACCUAAUUUGACUAGUCAGAUGUGUUUGGGUGAUCAGAAACAAAUUUACACCAAGUUAAUACUGCAAAUAUACACAAUCUAAGUUAUUACAGUUAUCAAGGAUGGUUAAAUUGUUUUAAUAGGGAGAGAAGGAAACACUAAGCAUUCAGGAGGGUAAGCCUGUAGGGGUCAGUAACCAUAACACUGAACUAUGUUCCUGUUCGGCUCUUCCAUGAAGAUGAUGUUACAUUUUUAAUUUUAGUUCUUUCUUCUUAGAUUAAGCUUCUGGAUUCAUCGCCGGUGGUACUGACACAUAGCCAGUGCUCCUGUGUGGCAGGUGCUGUUAUGUGCAAUCACACAGUGGCACUGCUCUUCCAAACAGCACACUACUCACAACUCAGAGUGCCGGUUGUCCCCCUGUGCAUAGCUGCACCGAAUCUGAACAGCAAUGGCACAAGCCACGGACAGUGGGUGUGAAGCCAGGACCUAUCAACUCUAUGAUCUUCACUAAGCCGGUACCAAAUAGGAUGGCCCAGACUGGAGUACGGAGUGGAUUCUACAGAGGCAUUGUGGGUCCAUUACCAGAUCCCUGACCUGACAAGCCCCUUGUGGAAAGUGCCUUUGGGCUGGUGCAGGAGGGCAGUGUUCUGUCAUGUCAGCAGCCGGUUUUGACAACCCGGUACAUCACACUACACCGUGAUGCACCACCAACACCGCACUUGCCUCUGGAGUAUGGGUAUGACAUCAAGGAAACCCUGCUCGCUCAGACAGCCUGUGAUAUUUUCUCAAACCGCUGCGCUGAACAAGUUUCCAAAGAACAUGCUGUGUGACACAAUAAAUAUCCUUUAACCUGUUAACCUGUGGCUUCUGGAAGAAACUCGGGUGAGUCAGUCACUGCAAACACAUUUGUAUCAUCAAGUGUUUGUCAAAUGAAAAUGAUAUGUUUUUCUACACUUAGGAUAAUUUUCUAUGUUGCAGUGCAGUAAAGUGCACGUUUCUUCUGUGUUCAAUCAUACAUGUUCUAAUUGUUAUAAACAGAAAAAAUCUUUUCUUACUUAACUGCUUGAUUCUUAACUUGUUUAACUGAAACAUGAUGAAAUGUCAUAGUAU
Molecule: long non-coding RNA, 1507 nt
Organism: Oreochromis niloticus (Nile tilapia)
Lineage: Eukaryota; Metazoa; Chordata; Actinopteri; Cichliformes; Cichlidae
Exons: 4
Source: RefSeq, a predicted model, not a curated record